AUACCUAACAGACGGAGUUCUCUUGAAAGUCUUUCCAACCCGGUGCUGAGCCAAUAUUCAGCCAUCAUAUUAGAUUCAUGUUCUACAGUGUUUUUGUCUUUGAAGAUCACCUAUCAUUUGAGUUGAUGCCUGCACAGUUCCAAUGGAGGAACCGAAUCUAUAAGGAGGAGCAACGUCAGCUGCAGAUAAGGCCAAGGGAGCAGGCGGAGGUAAAGAUGGUGGCCAUCAUUGAGAAUUGUUUUUCCGUGGAGCCAAAGAAGGGAUUGAUUCUUCGACACUUUGUUGGAAGUAAAACAUAAAUGAGUUGUAUUUAUGUGUUAUCGGAUGUUCAAUACAAAGGAAACACCCAACAUUUUUAAAAUGGCAGUCUCGAUGCAGGAACCGUAGCUGUGUGACAAUCUGCAGCUGUGUGCUUCGUCGCGUAUGUAUUUCUUUCCAUUUGCCUCCAUCUGUGGGAUGAUAUUUGUUUUGCUCACUUUGUCAAGCUGACUUGCUUUUACACUUUGUGUUUAGUAGAUUGGUUUAAGUGUUCA
Long non-coding RNA from Salvia miltiorrhiza (redroot sage), 533 nucleotides. RefSeq lists it as uncharacterized. Lineage: Eukaryota; Viridiplantae; Streptophyta; Magnoliopsida; Lamiales; Lamiaceae. The record is from RefSeq and is a predicted model, not a curated record. The transcript has 2 exons.